Molecule: ribosomal RNA, 1372 nt
Filed under: uncultured bacterium
Lineage: Bacteria
Description: bacterial SSU rRNA
Rfam family: Bacterial small subunit ribosomal RNA
Source: RNAcentral
GAUGAACGCUGGCGGCGUGCCUAAUACAUGCAAGUCGAGCGAACGGACGAGAAGCUUGCUUCUCUGAUGUUAGCGGCGGACGGGUGAGUAACACGUGGAUAACCUACCUAUAAGACUGGGAUAACUUCGGGAAACCGGAGCUAAUACCGGAUAAUAUUUUGAACCGCAUGGUUCAAAAGUGAAAGACGGUCUUGCUGUCACUUAUAGAUGGAUCCGCGCUGCAUUAGCUAGUUGGUAAGGUAACGGCUUACCAAGGCAACGAUGCAUAGCCGACCUGAGAGGGUGAUCGGCCACACUGGAACUGAGACACGGUCCAGACUCCUACGGGGGGCAGCAGUAGGGAAUCUUCCGCAAUGGGCGAAAGCCUGACGGAGCAACGCCGCGUGAGUGAUGAAGGUCUUCGGAUCGUAAAACUCUGUUAUUAGGGAAGAACAUAUGUGUAAGUAACUGUGCACAUCUUGACGGUACCUAAUCAGAAAGCCACGGCUAACUACGUGCCAGCAGCCGCGGUAAUACGUAGGUGGCAAGCGUUAUCCGGAAUUAUUGGGCGUAAAGCGCGCGUAGGCGGUUUUUUAAGUCUGAUGUGAAAGCCCACGGCUCAACCGUGGAGGGUCAUUGGAAACUGGAAAACUUGAGUGCAGAAGAGGAAAGUGGAAUUCCAUGUGUAGCGGUGAAAUGCGCAGAGAUAUGGAGGAACACCAGUGGCGAAGGCGACUUUCUGGUCUGUAACUGACGCUGAUGUGCGAAAGCGUGGGGAUCAAACAGGAUUAGAUACCCUGGUAGUCCACGCCGUAAACGAUGAGUGCUAAGUGUUAGGGGGUUUCCGCCCCUUAGUGCUGCAGCUAACGCAUUAAGCACUCCGCCUGGGGAGUACGACCGCAAGGUUGAAACUCAAAGGAAUUGACGGGGACCCGCACAAGCGGUGGAGCAUGUGGUUUAAUUCGAAGCAACGCGAAGAACCUUACCAAAUCUUGACAUCCUUUGACAACUCUAGAGAUAGAGCUUUCCCCUUCGGGGGACAAAGUGACAGGUGGUGCAUGGUUGUCGUCAGCUCGUGUCGUGAGAUGUUGGGUUAAGUCCCGCAACGAGCGCAACCCUUAAGCUUAGUUGCCAUCAUUAAGUUGGGCACUCUAAGUUGACUGCCGGUGACAAACCGGAGGAAGGUGGGGAUGACGUCAAAUCAUCAUGCCCCUUAUGAUUUGGGCUACACACGUGCUACAAUGGACAAUACAAAGGGCAGCGAAACCGCGAGGUCAAGCAAAUCCCAUAAAGUUGUUCUCAGUUCGGAUUGUAGUCUGCAACUCGACUACAUGAAGCUGGAAUCGCUAGUAAUCGUAGAUCAGCAUGCUACGGUGAAUACGUUCCCGGGUCU